This is a long non-coding RNA of Gallus gallus (chicken), 2447 nucleotides long. The record is from Ensembl. Lineage: Eukaryota; Metazoa; Chordata; Aves; Galliformes; Phasianidae.
CCUGAAGAUAGCCAUAAGUCUUUCUACUGCCCUAGGAUGUGCACUGAAAUGACUGCAAGACAGGCACAUCUUUUGCAUCCUAAACAGCAGCCUUUAUUUAUCAAAACACACAGAACAUGCAAUGGAGAGUCAAAACAAAGCAAAACCAGCAAUUCCAACAAUCCUCAGAAAACUUUGUUCCGAAUUGAGCAGUAUGUCCUGCUCAUAGAUGGACGUUCCAUUGCCUGUUUAGCAAAUGCCCCUCAUUUUCUUAACUUAAAAUCAUGCCUUAAGAAAAUUAUUUCAUCAGCAUUUAUACAUAGACACCCAUGAAGUUUUCAACAUAGUCUUGAAUUUGUGGUUUAACCUUCAUGAAGCAUACUGUUAUUUUCAAGGAUAAAUUUGAAGCACAACCUCAUUUUAAAGUAUAUGUGGAAAAUACUGAGCUUGUCAGCAAUAAAUACCUCAGCGUAUAGAAAUUUCGCAAAGGAAAAAACCCACAAAAAUGCCAAAACAAUUACAGAAAAGCAGAUACUAUCAUCCUUACAUUUGCAGAAUAACAAUUCUAACUGAACGUCCUCUGCCUUUUGCUAGUACUGUGUGAUAUACAUAAUAUUUGCAAACGUGUACACGUAUAUAUUUUCCAUAUCUGCAUGCUACAUAAGAAGGUCCUGAUAUUUAAACAAAGCAGAGACAAAACCUAACAAGGUGUCUCUCAACCAGUGAGGACACAAAUCCCUCUCUAAGGGCCUGGGGCAGCGUGCCUCAAAUGCUAAUAGCUUGAGUUGUGUGCAAUAGCCCUAUAUUGUUUAUAUAGCACUUCACAUGUUCAAAGCACUAUGAGAUAUCAGCCAUCACUACACUUUUACGAGGCUCUAAGUAUUACCCACUAAAUGUUAGGGUUCAAAUGACUUGCUCUUGAUCAAAAGAAACUUUGUGCAGCAGGACCAUAAUUAUUUGAAUUCAGUAAUUCUGACAGUCCAUUCCUAUAGUGACAAAAAAAAAGGGGGGGGGAGGGGGAAAUGGGAUAUUUAAAGCCAGUUGCAACUGCACUUUGUUCUGGCUAUGUUAAGUACAGGCAAUGUAGAAUCCCAAAGCUAACUCUCACAAAAAACAGCACCUCCAAAGAAAAUGAGAACUUCAAUGAUUUUUUUCCAUUUUAAAAGCACAAAUACAAAAACUGUUUUUUAAAGAAUUGGUCAUGUUUCUCUGAGUAUAUGUAUGUCAUUAUCACCGUGAAGAACCUAAAAUACUGUACAGAAACAGACCAGAAAACUUAAUAUGCGAGUCAUAUCAUCUGCUCUGAAACAGGUUCUCCUUUUUUGCUGCUGCUGUUUUGAUAAAGGUUUGGUUUUGAUUUUUUCUUCUUCCUUUAAAAAUCAGGAGGAGGAGCAGGCAAAGACCAAGGCAACUCGUGAUAGGACUUAAAUCACUACCCUUUAGUGAUACAUAAUAUCUUCCCAUUUUUAGACAGAUGUUCAUUCUAUGGAAACCUCAGUUGCCAUCGCUGAUACUUAUUAACUUAGAGUCAAAAUAUCAAGUCUCCCUUCCCAUGAAGGAAACACAAUGGAGCCGAUGGUGAAAACCAGCCAGUCACAGUUUUGCUACCUAAAACUAAAUCCUUCCUUGAAAUAAGGAAAGCGGUGCUCAGGGACAUGAUUUAGCAGAAGGUUGUUAGAGUUAGGGUAGUAUGGUUAGGUUGCUGUUGGACUUGAUGAUCUUUCAGGUCUUUUCCAACCUGAGCAAUUCUAUGAUUCUAGGAUUCUAAUAAAGGCUGAACUGGAUCGAUACUGAAGAUUUUUGUACUUACAGCUUAAAAAUCUUCAUGCAAAAAACAUAAAUAUUGAGAUUUCAAAAUGAGAGAAUGAAAACUUUUUUUUUAACUUUGCAUUUAGCACACAUCCUAUCAUACACAACUUACUUUCCAACAUCUUACAUUUAAACUUGCAUAUAUUGCCUUUCGUUUCCAUACAUACCAUAUGUUUUCAGAACACAGCCUCACAGUUACUGGCAUUCAAAUCUUAUCUGCAGGAUGACAUGGGAAAUAUGUAGUACUGAGACAAAAAUGUAGGCCUCUACACACAAUUCAGAUUCAACAAAUAAGAGAAGUGCUCCUGUUUAAGCAGGGGGAGGGUAAGAAAUUCCCUUCAAAAGCAGUACAUAGUACAGAGUUUAAAAACAUGUAACUAUGUUUCCAUAGGUUGACAGCAAUACAAAAACAUUUGAUCACCUAGCUGAAAAAUACUGGCCUUUAGCAUUACUGCAGAGGUAAUUAGAAGCCAUACUUCAACCAACUGCAGAAACAACUGCAGUUAGUGUUUGUAUAACACAAUUAGAGUCUUAUAUUACAGUGAAGGUUAUUGGGUUCUCUUCUUGCAAUUUUUAAGAUCAAAGAAGAAAUGAACACUUUUCAUUUUGUCAGGUAAAGACCUUCCUUUUGAUGGCUGUACAGAGUCUUUACUUCCAGC